UACGGAGGGUGCAAGCGUUAUCCGGAUUCACUGGGUUUAAAGGGUGUGUAGGCGGGCUGUUAAGUCAGUGGUGAAAUCUCCGUGCUCAACCCGGAAACUGCCAUUGAUACUAUCAGUCUUGAAUCUUGUUGAGGUAGGCGGAAUAUAUCAUGUAGCGGUGAAAUGCUUAGAUAUGAUAUAGAACACCGAUUGCGAAGGCAGCUUACUAAACAAGCAUUGACGCUGAGGCACGAAAGCGUGGGGAUCAAACAGG
This 253-nucleotide ribosomal RNA is filed under the name uncultured bacterium. Its description in RNAcentral is "partial 16S ribosomal RNA". It matches the Rfam family "Bacterial small subunit ribosomal RNA", at positions 524 to 776 of the family's 1533-position model. The record is from RNAcentral.